ACGCUCGACACCUACGGGAGGAGCAGUGGGGAAUAUUGCACAAUGGGGGAAACCCUGAUGCAGCGACGCCGCGUGGAGGAAGAAGGUCUUCGGAUUGUAAACUCCUGUUGUUGGGGAAAAAGAGGAUGGUACCCAACAAGGAAGUGACGGCUAACUACGUACCAGCAGCCGCGGUAAUCUGAGCGGGCUGGCAAGGC
RNAcentral lists this ribosomal RNA (197 nucleotides) under uncultured bacterium. RNAcentral describes it as "partial 16S ribosomal RNA". It matches the Rfam family "Bacterial small subunit ribosomal RNA", at positions 328 to 539 of the family's 1533-position model. The record is from RNAcentral.